Molecule: ribosomal RNA, 392 nt
Filed under: uncultured bacterium
Lineage: Bacteria
Description: partial 16S ribosomal RNA
Rfam family: Bacterial small subunit ribosomal RNA
Source: RNAcentral
AUACGGAGGAUCCGAGCGUUAUUCGGAUUUAUUGGGUUUAAAGGGUGCGCAGGCGGCCAUUUAAGUCAGCGGUUAAAUCGUGGGGCUCAACCCCAUUCUGCCGUUGAUACUGGGUGGCUUGAUUGCGGUCGAGGUUGGCGGAAUUCGUUGUGUAGCGGUGAAAUGCAUAGAUAUGACGAAGAACACCGAUUGCGUAGGCAGCUGACCAGACCGCAAAUGACGCUCAUGCACGAAAGUGCGGGGAUCGAACAGGAUUAGAUACCCUGGUAGUCCGCACAGUAAACGAUGAAUACUUGUUUUCGGCGAUAUAAUGUCGGAGGCAAAGCGAAAGCGAUAAGUAUUCCACCUGGGGAGUACGCCGGCAACGGUGAAACUCAAAGGAAUUGACGGGG